This is a long non-coding RNA of Lycium barbarum (goji berry), 849 nucleotides long. RefSeq lists it as uncharacterized. The record is from RefSeq and is a predicted model, not a curated record. The transcript has 2 exons. NCBI's taxonomy places the organism in Eukaryota, Viridiplantae, Streptophyta, Magnoliopsida, Solanales, Solanaceae.
ACAAGAUUAUGGAGUUGAGAUGUGAACGAUUUUGCAUUGCACAGUUUGUGCUAAAAAGCUGCAGAAAUUGUGUCUAAAUCUAAAGCCCAUCCGGGUGAAAAUUAUAAAGGAAUUGUUCUGCUCGCAGGUAAGUCCAUGACACGUGUAAUUCUAUCUUUAGUAUUCUAGGAAGUAGCAUGUUCAGGCAAUACAAAUUGUGUUUUAAACAAACAACCCCACACAUACGGACAAACUAAGGUACCUGAGUUGUUUAGAAAAGAAUUUCACCAAUUUCCUCUCUUGUAAGUCCCCCUACAACACAGCAAACACACUCAUUCCAUUCUCACUCACAACUCCACCGUAACUCCACCACCAGUUGAGGUUUUCAGUGGCGCUAAGGUUCUAUGUGAUUUAGAAGUGAUCGGGAAGAAACCAAGUGAAAAUGAGGCAAAAAAGAGCUAAAACGAAGAAAAGGAAAAACAUGCUAGAAGUGCAAAAAAUGGUCAGAUUUGUAAUUUCAAAAAUCUGAAAUUUUGAGGGUUGUUUUUGUCAUUUUUUUAGUUGGGAAAUUUGCGAAUUAUAAAAGUGAAGCUUGGGGCAAAAUAUUUUGAUCUUUGGCCAUUAUUUCAAAAGGAGGAACAAGAAACUACACCUAGGGUUCGAAGAUUUGAAGUACUCAAUGAGAAUUUCUUUACUCAUUUCUUCAACUCUUGCUUUUAUUGUAUAUCUAAGUGUGUAGCAUUUUAUUCUAUCACUUUAAUCUUGUUUAUGCAAACAUUCAUAUGUUAAAGUUUGUAUUGAAUCUCUUGUUUUGCUGAUGUAUUAAAUAAUAUUUAUUUCUAAUGAAGUGUGUUAAUGUUUCUUUAUUUA